This is an RNA transcript of Octodon degus (degu), 713 nucleotides long. It is a transcript of the gene named enolase-phosphatase E1 pseudogene, with no coding region annotated. The transcript has a single exon. Lineage: Eukaryota; Metazoa; Chordata; Mammalia; Rodentia; Octodontidae. The record is from RefSeq and is a predicted model, not a curated record.
CCCUGCCACCGCGUCGCCUGCGGGGUGGUUGUGGGGCUCCGGGAGGGCAGAGCUAGGCUCGCCCGCGAGGAGAUGGUCGGGCUCUCGGUGCCCGCCGAGGUCACCGCGAUCCUGCUGGAUAUCGAAGGGACCACGACGCCGAUUGCUUUCGUGAAGGACAUUUUAUUUCCUUACAUCAAAGAAAAUGUGCAGGAAUAUCUGCAGACACACUGGGAAGAGGAGGAGUGUUGGCAGGACGUGAGCCUUCUGAGGAAGCAGGCUGAGGAAGCUGCCCACCUGGACGGUGCUGUUCCGAUCCCCACGGCAUUUGGGGAUGGGGUGGAUGACCUCCAGCAGACGAUCCAGGCUGUGGUAGAGAAUGUGCGCUGGCAGAUGUCUCUGGACCGGAAGACCACAGCACUCAAACAGCUGCAGGGCCACAUGUGGAGGGCAGCGUUCACAGCUGGACACGUGAAAGGAGAGUUCUUCGCAGAUGCAGUGCCUGCAGUCAGGAAGCGGAAAGCAGCUGAAUGAAGGUGUAUGUCUAUUCCUCAGGGAGCAUCGAGGCCCAGAAACUUUUAUUUGGGCAUUCCACAGAGGGAGAUAUUCUUGAGCUUUUUGAUGGUCACUUUGACACCAAGAUUGGACACAAAGUGGAGAGUGAGAGCUACCGAAAGAUUGCAGAUAGCAUUGGGUGCUCAACGAAAAACAUCUUGUUUCUGACAGAUAUUACU